AGGCCUGGAGAAUUGUGUUUUCGGCAUGUCAGUAUUAUUUAACUAGGAAAUAGUCAGUCGGAGCUCAACACUGAAGUGAAAGGAUAGUUUCUGGAUAGUCGGCUCGCCUGGAGACGUAUCAGUUCCAGGCAUGGGCAGGUACACCGGACUUCCAGUAGCUCCGGAUUCCAUUGAUUGUACAGAAGAAUGCAACUGGUAACGCAGCUCCCCUUCAGCAUAUAGCUGAGAUCUCUUUGGAUAGGCGCUGAGCCGGCAUACAAACAGCUGUAGGUACGUAAAUUCGCCAACGCUAUCAAUAAAUGACAAAAUUUCUGGAAACAGCAUGGCCUUCUAGACCAGUACCAGGCAACAGAAAAGAGGCCCAGCAAACCACGCAACACUUGGACUAUCCCUUCGUACUGCUUUCACUUGCAGAAGUGCUCUCCCUACUAGUGAGCUCUGCCUCGCUCCAACGAUGUUCACUUCAGGUGCAAAAGUGAUAAAGCUACUACACACAUCAAACACAAAGGCACAGAAUAUACCGAUUCUGUAACCCAAAUAUAUUUCCUUUAUGAUUCGUUGCAAAAA
Drosophila pseudoobscura is the source of this 567-nucleotide long non-coding RNA. RefSeq lists it as uncharacterized. The record is from RefSeq and is a predicted model, not a curated record. The transcript has 2 exons. NCBI's taxonomy places the organism in Eukaryota, Metazoa, Arthropoda, Insecta, Diptera, Drosophilidae.